This 468-nucleotide ribosomal RNA is filed under the name uncultured bacterium. RNAcentral describes it as "partial 16S ribosomal RNA". It matches the Rfam family "Bacterial small subunit ribosomal RNA", at positions 28 to 507 of the family's 1533-position model. The record is from RNAcentral.
GACGAACGCUGGCGGCGUGCUUAACACAUGCAAGUCGAACGGAAAGGCCCUGCUUUUGUGGGGUGCUCGAGUGGCGAACGGGUGAGUAACACGUGAGUAACCUGCCCUUGACUUUGGGAUGACUUCAGGAAACUGGGGCUAAUACCGGAUAGGAGCUCCUGCUGCAUGGUGGGGGUUGGAAAGUUUCGGCGGUUGGGGAUGGACUCGCGGCUUAUAAGCUUGUUGGUGGGGUAGUGGCUUACCAAGGCUUUGACGGGUAGCCGGCCUGAGAGGGUGACCGGCCACAUUGGGACUGAGAUACGGCCCAGACUCCUACGGGAGGCAGCAGUGGGGAAUAUUGCACAAUGGGCGGAAGCCUGAUGCAGCAACGCCGCGUGCGGGAUGACGGCCUUCGGGUUGUAAACCGCUUUCGCCUGUGACGAAGCGUGAGUGACGGUAAUGGGUAAAGAAGCACCGGCUAACUACGUG